This 350-nucleotide unclassified non-coding RNA is filed under the name soil metagenome. RNAcentral's name for it is "partial contains 5.8S ribosomal RNA, internal transcribed spacer 2, and large subunit ribosomal RNA". The stretch from base 5 to 119 matches the Rfam family "5.8S ribosomal RNA", at positions 40 to 154 of the family's 154-position model. The record is from RNAcentral.
GAUGAGAACGUAGCGAAAUGCGAUAAGUAAUGUGAAUUGCAGAAUUCAGUGAAUCAUCGAAUCUUUGAACGCACAUUGCGCCCGCCAGUAUUCUGGCGGGCAUGCCUGUCUGAGCGUCAUUUCAACCCUCAGCCCCCGCUCGCGGGGCGCUGGCGUUGGGGAUCGGCCGUCCUCGCGGCGGCCGGCCCCGAAACACAGUGGCAGUCUCUCGCGGACUCCCCUGCGUAGUAGCACUACCUCGCAGAAGGGACGAGCGGGCUGACCACGCCGUAAAACCCCCCACUUCUCCAGGUUGACCUCAGAUCAGGUAGGAAUACCCGCUGAACUUAAGCAUAUCAAUAAGCGGAGGA